RNAcentral lists this ribosomal RNA (1180 nucleotides) under uncultured organism. RNAcentral describes it as "bacterial SSU rRNA". It matches the Rfam family "Bacterial small subunit ribosomal RNA", at positions 39 to 1181 of the family's 1533-position model. The record is from RNAcentral.
GCAGCGUGGAUUAGGCAUGCAAGUCGAACGGGAAGCUUCGGUUUCAAUCUUCGGAAAGUUACUGAGGUGGAGAGUGGCGAAAGGGUGAGUAACGCGUGAGUAAUCUACCUCAAAGUCUGGGAUAACCCCGCGAAAGUGGAGCUAAUACCGGAUGUGGUAUCUUGUCGCAUGGCAAGAUUACUAAAGGUGGGGAUCCUUCGGGACCUGCUGCUAUGAGAGGAACUCGCGUCCCAUCAGCUUGUUGGUAGGGUAACGGCCUACCAAGGCUUACGGGUAGCCGGCCUGAGAGGGUGACCGGCCACACUGGGACUGAGACACUGCCCAGACUCCUACGGGAGGCUGCAGUCGAGGAUCAUUCGCAAUGCGCGAAAGCGUGACGAUGCGACGCUGCGUGGAGGAUGACAGCCUUCGGGUUGUAAACUCCUGUCAUGAGGGAACAGUAAGCAAAGGGCUAAUACCCCUUCGCUCCGAUGGUACCUCAAGAGGAAGCCACAGCUAACUCUGUGCCAGCAGCCGCGGUAAUACAGAGGUGGCGAGCGUUGUUCGGAUUUACUGGGCGUAAAGGGUGCGUAGGUGGUUUCGUAUGUCGGAUGUGAAAGCCCGGGGCUCAACCCCGGAACUGCAUUCGAAACUGCGGGACUAGAGUACAGGAUGGGAGAGCGGAAUUCUUGGUGUAGCAGUGAAAUGCGUUGAGAUCAAGAAGAACACCGGUGGCGAAGGCGGCUCUCUGGAAUGUUACUGACACUCAUGCACGAAAGCUGGGGGAGCAAACAGGAUUAGAUACCCUGGUAGUCCCAGCCGUAAACUGUGUGCACUUGGCGUUGGCGGUAUUGACCCCGCCAGUGCCGGAGCUAACGCGUUAAGUGCACCGCCUGGGGAGUACAGCCGCAAGGUUAAAACUCAAAGAAAUUGACGGGGGCCCGCACAAGUGGAGGAGCAUGUGGCUUAAUUCGAUGCAACGCGAAGAACCUUACCUGGGUUUGACAUCGGAGAGGCUUGCCUCUAGCGCGUGAAAGCGCGUUUACCUGACAGGUGCUGCAUGGCUGUCGUCAGUUCGUGCCGUGAGGUGUUUGGUUAAGUCCAGCAACGAACGCAACCCUUGUGUUUAGUUGCAACCCCCGAGCAAUCGGGGCGCACUCUAGACAGACCGCCCGUACAAGCGGGAAGGAAGGUGGGGAUG